This 544-nucleotide long non-coding RNA is filed under the name Erythranthe guttata (spotted monkey flower). Its description in RNAcentral is "long non-coding RNA (EGUT_LNC002479)". Lineage: Eukaryota; Viridiplantae; Streptophyta; Magnoliopsida; Lamiales; Phrymaceae. The record is from RNAcentral.
AAUAAUCUCAUUUUUUUACUCUUAUAUAUAAACCCCAUACCAUAUUGUACAACUCAAUACCUACAUUCAAUUCCCCAUAUUUUAACGAUCAAAAACCAAAACAAAAUAAAAAACAUUAACACUUGAGAAUAAGGAAUUAAUACAAUGAGGGCAAUCUCUUUAUACUUAUCUUCUACCUUACUCCCCCAAACUCUUCCCCAUGAUUUAAAUAAUAGGUACUACUAUUUUUCAUUUUGAUAUUGCUUUUUUUUUUUUAAUUUUUUUUAACAUUCUUUUUGUGGGUUCCUCAAUUUGUAAUUUUUUUUUUAAUUUUUUUAAUUUUUUUUUUGAUUUUUGGGUAUUUUUAGGUGUGUUUUAGUGUCUUACUCAUCAGUGAUCAAGUCUCAGGCUUCGCCUACCGGACGACGUAGUUUAAGAACUAGCAAUAUUAGAGGUGCUCCCAAUUUGAGGUAACGUUUUUCACUUUGCAUUUGGUGUUUAAUUAGCAUAUUGGGACUUUUAUUGAAAAAAAAAUCUCAUUUUUUGAUAAUUACAUCGAUUCCCU